UCCUGAGAGCUGGAAACAGGAGCAUCUGUGAGGAAUAUGUAUCUUCUAGACUCCAUAAGACAGAAAAUCUCUUCAUAGUGUGGCAAAAUAGUGGGCAACAUGCCUGAAGCUUGAGCGUCCCAAGGGACAUGUAACAACUCAAGAUAAUAACUUUACUAACUAAAUUAGGGGAAUACUAUGUGAUUUAGGUAACAAAUCACAUAUUAUCAAAUAAUGUAGCAAGUGACUAAAGCAGCACUCUUAAAUUAUUUCAAACAUAUCCAUAUAAAGUAUAACAUUCAUACUGAGUGCAUCAUUACAAAUCAGUCUGGGGAAAGUUUACCAAGAGAAAAAAUAGAAACAUUGUUCCUUAUAAAUAGUUAGCCUUUGUGUUUAUGGAACAGUCAACAUAAUUUAUAGAAAGAUUUUCCUUUUUGGGGAAAUGUUUUUCUAGCAUUUCCCUCCAGAUACACAGUAUUUGUAAUUUGCUAUACUUUAUUCACAUAUAUAUGCAUAUCAUCUACAUGGUGGUGACAAACAGACAUUGAUAAAUUGAACUAAUUCUGUGGGGGUUUUGAUUUAAAUUCUCAAUCCCAGUAGACAGUGUCAUUUUAAUAUGAUGAAUAAAGCAAGCAAAUAAAUAUUUCCUUUCUCCCAAAUGUGGAAUGAAUUAUUUCCUUUUCUCACAAAAAUAUGGACUUCCCUUCUACAAACUACAGUGGAACAGAAGAAUAUUUAAAUUACAAUCUAGAAGUAAUUAGAGGUAAGGUAAGUUUAUGUAUGUUUUGACCAAGUCAGUCUGGAAAUAAACUGCAAUCCUUGCCAGAAAGGAUUUUUUUUUCCCCCUAAUUUUCAAAGAUCCUGUUCUAGGUGCGGAUACAGUACACACAGGCUAUUUUUAGGCAUUUUAAAAACAGAAGGGAAAACAAGACUUUUCACUUUUCCAUACUUCCACAUGCAGAAAUCUUGUACUGUUGAUAAAGGAGACCCUUGGUAUUAAAGGUGGAAACAAGGUGUUUUAUUUUGAAGUUAUUUUAAAAAAACUCUUUAGAAUUAGCAUAGUUUUCCUGUACAAUGUUUAAUACCUUCCAGUAUAACAAACUUUAGUGCAGAGACUGUGAUUUUUUUUAUUCUUAUUUCACCUUAGAGACCCAGCCAAUGAACAACAUGAAAAGAUGAAAUGCAGAGCAAAAAGAAGCCCAAACCCAUAGCUGAAUUACUGCAUACUGUGGGAAGCAAGCAAUGAGUCACGUGACAUGCCAAAGUAAUGUUGAUACUUUAUACUAACAUGUUACAUUUCCAAGUGCGUAUGUACUUCAGCAUGGUGUGGAGGCACUGCUGCUUCAGUCUGGUUUGCAAAAUGCAAGGCAACCCAUUCUCAGCUAUUAUUCACUCUAAAUAUAUUGAACACAGGACUGGUGAUUAAUAUCUCUUGUUGUGUUACCUUGGUUGUUAAUGAAAAACAUUGGGUGUUCCCUUCACUACGCAGAGUGCAAACUCAUAAAAAAAAAAAAAUCACGGGUGAACUCCUUAUGAACACUUCUAAUUGCUCAGGCACAGUGUUUGAAAAUCUCAAGUAAUUUGCCAUUAAAAUAAUGAAUAGCAUAAACUGUAAUUCUUCAUAGUAAUUAACUUGUGUCAGCACCAUUAUUUUUCAUUAAUUAUAAAUGAAAAAGAAUAAAAGAUCACCUGCAGGAACAGAUGUGUGAAAUUGUCUCUGAGGUUCUGUUGUAGCCUUUUUUUCUUCUUCCCUCCAACAAGUUAUAUUGAGAAUGGUAUCCAGCCAUGCAAGAAUGCAGAUGGUAGAGACAGUCCAGGAGAGAAUGGGAAAAAAGAUAUUUGAUAAUGUUGCUCUCCGUGAAGUCUAAUAUUUUAAUGAAAAAUGGAAUUAUUACUGGCCAAAAAAAGGAAACAGCAAAAAAAUCGAAACAUUUUGUAGCUUACAGCUGUAAGAAGUUAGGAAGAACAAUCUGACAGUAAAAUUCAUUGGGUUUUGGUUUUGAUUUGGGGUCUUUUUGGAAUGCAAAAGUCUAAUUGCAUAGUUUGAAGCUUUAUGUCUCAGUUUAACUUAAUUAAAAACUCUUUUAGGAAAUAUUCCUUAUUGUCUCAAAUGCUGUGGGGUUUUUUGUUUGUUUAUUUGUUUGUUUUUAAGGAGGUCAGUGGGGUUGAUGAAAAAUAAAGUUGUAUACCAUUAGGUGUUUUCUCUGUUGUGUCCAUCUUCUACACAUCUCUUUCUUACAUUCAACUCAAGUCAGUUUUGAUCCCUAUAGGGUUCUGCUGAAUUAUGAAUGUUUUACAAAUAACAUACAAGCUUAAGUCCUGUUGAUACCUUCACCUAAAGUCCUUUGUCUACUAUAUUACUAAACUACUGCCUGAACAUCUACUAAACUAUCAUAUUAAUAAAAUCUGGCCUUUUCUAAUUAGAACAGAAUGAUAGAAAGAUUUAGGUUGGAAAGGACUUAUGUAGGUCAGCUGGUCCAAUUCUCUGCACAAAGUGGAGCAAACUUCAGUUAGAGCAUGUUGCUCAGGGCCUCAUCCAGUUGAGUUUUGGAUAUCUCCAAGGAUUGAAAUUACUUGUUUGGGAAACCUGUACCAGUGCUUAACUUCUCCAUUGUACAUAUCACAGAAAUGUGUCAUAAAAACAUCUAACAAAUGUAGAUGUUAUUUAGAAUAAUUUUGCUAGUAAUAAACUGGCUAUAUUAUAAACUCUUGC
This is a long non-coding RNA of Harpia harpyja (harpy eagle), 2692 nucleotides long. RefSeq lists it as uncharacterized. The record is from RefSeq and is a predicted model, not a curated record. NCBI's taxonomy places the organism in Eukaryota, Metazoa, Chordata, Aves, Accipitriformes, Accipitridae. The transcript has 3 exons.